GUUUCCUCACGGCUUCCUGAAUUGUCUUCACUUGGCCUUCCUGCAUUCGCUCAUUCUCUCCUCAUCUUCUCUUCUUUUCUCAUCUUUGAAUUCGUGUGCUCUGAUUUUCUCUCGUUCGCGCUCUCACCGCUUCCCCUUCUCACCACCUCCGCCGCUACCACGGAGGAAUUUCUGUAUUCUCUGUCCGCGACCCCGGCCGUGACAGGUCGACAUCUCUCCCCAGCUUGUCGCUCCGCGUAUAUCGAAUCGCCGUCCUCAGUCCUCACCAUCGUCAUCCAGCGCUGCUGCGGUGGAGGUGGCGGUGGUGGUGGUGGAGGCGGUGGUGGUAGCAGCGGCGACAAGCGGCGGCGAGUGGCGACACAGUGCCACCUCCUCGAUUCUAGGGAAUCGAGCGGUUGGUCGGUCGUGGAGAGCGCGAGAGGUGCGCGAGAAUGUCCGAGAGAGCGGCCUGAAAGCGCGGAUUAAUGUGUCGGUCGCGUUUACAAGACGUGAGGCGCGAGCGAGAACGAGAGAAAGAGCGAGAGAGCGAGAAAGCAAGAGAGAGAAAGAGAAAGAGAGCAAGCGAGAGAGAGAGAGAGAGAGAGAGAGAGAGAGAGAGAAUGAGAGAAUGAGCGAGUGUGCGUGAGUGGAGGAGGGGAGGGAGAGUGUUCACGAGCGCGCGCGCGGGGGUAGUCAGAGAAGCGCACGGCAUAGCGAGCGAGUUUAUUUUUAGUGGCAGAAGGUGAAGAAGGCGGGCGAAGAGCACCGCGCGGAGUGGUAUUAAGCGGCAGCACAGUGGCCCGAUGAAGCGGCGUAUGUGACAUCGGGUUUUCCUCUCUCUUGCCACCGUCGAGGAAGAAGAGACACCUCGCAGACAUCUUGCUGCCACCGUCCACGCCGUUGGUCCUCCAUUCACUUGGAGGCCAGUGGAGCAGAGACGCCAGAGAAUAAUACGAGCUGUGGUAGCCUUGCGGAAGCGCAAUAGUAGUUGGCUUCGGCCAACAGAGGCGACAAGGAUAUCAUGGCGACGAUAGACGGCCGGCCGGCCCAAUAUGGUGUCACGCUUAAGCAACUCCGUGAGCUCAUGGAGCUCCGGGGUCGCGAAGGUGUCAACAAGAUCAAUGGCUACGGUGGUGUGCAGGAGAUUUGUAAAAAGCUGUAUACUUCACCCAAUGAAGGUCUUAGUGGAUCAGCAGCGGAUAUACAACAUAGGCGAGAUACAUUUGGUUCCAAUAUGAUACCUCCAAAGCCACCAAAAACAUUUUUACAGUUAGUAUGGGAAGCAUUGCAAGAUGUCACGUUAAUCAUCUUAGAAGUAGCAGCAUUGGUUUCAUUAGGUCUUAGCUUUUAUCAACCUGCUGAUGAUGAGGAAAAAGAAGUUGUGAGUGUAGAUGAGGACGAAGCGAAAUACGGUUGGAUUGAAGGACUCGCUAUAUUGAUUUCUGUAAUUGUGGUGGUAUUAGUGACGGCGUUUAAUGACUAUUCCAAGGAGAGACAGUUUAGAGGUCUUCAAAGUCGGAUAGAGGGAGAACACAAGUUCUCGGUUAUACGGCAAGGAGAAGUGAAACAAAUCUCCGUAUCUGACAUUGUUGUGGGUGACAUUUGUCAGAUAAAAUAUGGAGACCUGUUGCCUGCAGACGGUAUUCUUAUACAAAGCAACGAUCUCAAAGUGGAUGAAUCCAGUCUGACUGGAGAGUCAGAUCAUGUAAAGAAAGGGGAAGCAUUCGAUCCUAUGGUACUUUCAGGUACGCACGUGAUGGAGGGUUCCGGAAAAAUGUUAGUUACUGCAGUAGGUGUUAAUUCCCAAGCGGGUAUUAUCUUUACCUUACUGGGUGCUGCUGUUGAUCAACAGGAACAAGAAAUCAAGAAAAUGAAGAAAGAGGCUAAAAAGCAGCGGAAGAAGAAGUCAUUACCAGGAGAGGAGUCGGUAGAGAUUACCGGGAACAGUCACGUGACGGGAAGCGGCGGCGGAGGCGGUGGAGGUGGCGGCGGUGGCGGUGGCGGCGGUGUGUGUGGCAAGCACGAGGGCGGCGAGAAUCAUCACGCGGCCGCACCCGCGAGCGCCGGGGAGAGCGGGAAGAAAGAAAAGAGUGUUCUGCAAGCCAAGCUAACUAAACUCGCCAUACAGAUCGGUUACGCCGGCUCGACCAUCGCGGUGCUCACAGUCGUCAUUCUAGUCAUACAGUUCUGCGUGACGACCUUCGUCAUAGAGGGCAAGCCGUGGCGAAACACGUACGCCGGUGAUCUGGUGCGGCAUUUGAUCAUCGGUGUCACGGUGCUCGUAGUCGCCGUACCCGAGGGUCUUCCUCUAGCCGUCACCUUGUCACUUGCUUAUUCCGUCAAGAAAAUGAUGAAGGACAACAAUCUGGUGCGUCAUUUGGAUGCCUGCGAAACGAUGGGUAACGCCACCGCCAUUUGCUCGGACAAGACCGGCACCCUGACCACGAACCGCAUGACCGUGGUACAGUCGUAUAUAUGCGAGAAGAUGUGCAAGACAACGCCGAAUUUCUCGGACAUACCGAGCCACAUCGGCGAGUUGAUCCUGCAGGCCAUCUCAAUCAAUUCGGCGUACACGUCGCGGAUAAUGGAGUCGCCGGACCCUACUGAAUUGCCGUUACAGGUUGGCAACAAAACCGAAUGUGCCUUACUUGGAUUCGUAUUAGCCCUGGGCAAGAAAUAUCAAACUGUGCGGGACGACUAUCCUGAGGAAACCUUUACGCGGGUGUAUACGUUUAAUAGCGUAAGAAAGAGCAUGUCUACCGUUAUCCCUAGAAAGGGUGGUGGAUUCAGGCUCUUCACCAAGGGCGCUUCCGAGAUCAUCAUGAAGAAAUGUGCCUUUAUAUAUGGUCGCGAGGGUCAUCUGGAGACGUUUACCAGAGAUAUGCAAGAACGUCUAGUAAAGAACGUGAUCGAACCUAUGGCAUGCGACGGGCUGCGUACCAUCUCCAUCGCUUAUCGCGAUUUUGUUCCUGGCAAGGCGGAGAUCAAUCAAGUUCACAUCGACAACGAGCCCAAUUGGGACGACGAGGAUAAUCUAGUGAACAACCUCACCUGCCUGUGCAUCGUCGGUAUCGAGGAUCCGGUGCGUCCCGAGGUACCGGAUGCGAUCAAAAAAUGCCAAAAGGCCGGCAUCACUGUGCGCAUGGUUACGGGUGACAAUAUAAACACCGCGCGAUCCAUCGCGCUCAAGUGUGGUAUCCUGAAGCCGAACGAAGACUUCCUCAUUCUGGAGGGCAAGGAGUUCAAUCGCAGGAUCAGAGACAGCAGUGGCGAGGUACAGCAACAUUUGCUGGACAAAGUGUGGCCAAAAUUGCGAGUAUUGGCCAGAUCGUCUCCCACCGACAAGUACACCUUGGUGAAAGGCAUCAUUGACAGCAAGGCGACCGAAAGUCGCGAGGUCGUGGCGGUAACCGGCGAUGGCACGAACGACGGUCCGGCUUUGAAGAAGGCCGAUGUCGGUUUUGCCAUGGGUAUCGCCGGCACGGACGUCGCCAAAGAAGCGUCCGACAUCAUACUGACAGACGAUAAUUUCUCGUCGAUCGUGAAGGCGGUUAUGUGGGGCAGAAACGUCUACGAUAGCAUCGCCAAGUUUCUGCAAUUCCAACUGACCGUCAAUGUGGUCGCCGUGAUCGUCGCUUUCAUCGGUGCUUGUGCCGUGCAGGACUCGCCGCUUAAGGCGGUGCAAAUGUUGUGGGUAAACCUAAUCAUGGACACAUUAGCGUCCCUCGCCUUGGCCACCGAAUUGCCUACGCCCGAUCUACUCCUCCGUAGACCGUACGGUCGCACAAAACCACUCAUUUCCAGGACAAUGAUGAAAAAUAUUCUCGGUCAGGCCUUUUAUCAGUUGGGUGUAAUUUUCACACUUCUUUUCGCCGGUGAUCUGAUGCUCGACAUCGACACGGGUCGCGGAGUGGCGGCGGCAGGCGGCGGGCCCACACAACACUUCACCGUCAUCUUCAACACGUUCGUCAUGAUGACUCUCUUCAACGAAUUCAACGCUAGGAAAAUUCAUGGUCAACGCAAUGUCUUCCAGGGAAUAUUCACCAACCCCAUCUUCUAUACGAUUUGGAUCUGCACGUGUUUCGCGCAAGUGUUUAUCAUACAAUACGGUAAAAUGGCAUUCAGCACCAGAGCGCUCACGUUAGACCAGUGGUUGUGGUGCCUGUUCUUCGGAAUCGGUACGCUAAUAUGGGGCCAAAUAGUUACGACUAUUCCUACACGCCGAAUUCCCAAAAUUCUUUCAUGGGGCCGCGGCCAGCCGGAUGAUAUCGGUGCGAUCAAUCUAGGAGAUGAGAAAUUCGACCCCGACUCGGAUAAAAAGCCGCGCGCAGGACAAAUUCUAUGGAUCCGUGGUCUAACACGGCUACAAACACAGACGAGCAAUAGAACUCUGGUGCAGAAUGUAUCUGUGACAGGCAGAUCCCCUUCUCAGGAUUACUACAUGCCAGCGGAACCCAUUCGAGAGACUGAGGUAUAACGGGGCGGCAGUUUUGCCCGCCGCCACACUUAUCCUGUCGGAGUACAAACAAAUUCGCGUAGUGAACGCAUUUCGGCAGGGCCUAGACACGCGCUACGGCGAGCACAGCAGCACCACCCUGGCG
This 4580-nucleotide unclassified non-coding RNA is filed under the name Acromyrmex echinatior (Panamanian leafcutter ant). RNAcentral describes it as "plasma membrane calcium-transporting ATPase 3, transcript variant X5". The record is from RNAcentral. Lineage: Eukaryota; Metazoa; Arthropoda; Insecta; Hymenoptera; Formicidae.